GCCACAUGUCAUCAUCAGAAUGAUAAUGGAGCUAAACUACACAGCCCAAGGCAAGUCGAACAAAUCGUCUGCCUUUAAUUGUUGUCCAUGUGAAAGUGGCCAUUGAUUCCUCUUAAUAACUACACAUAAGAUUUGUUUGCUUCUUUUGCUAUUCCCCAUGGCCCAGUAUGAAGGAAAGGUGACAGAUUUAGUAGGGAGGCAAGAUACCACAUACUAGUAGGUAUUGUUAACAAGCUUAUAACAAGUAAACGUUGUUAGGAAUGGAUAAUUGGUUGAUGGUUUAAGUUAUGAUGAUCAACUGG
This 302-nucleotide long non-coding RNA is filed under the name Hordeum vulgare. Its description in RNAcentral is "long non-coding RNA (HVUL_LNC005972)". Lineage: Eukaryota; Viridiplantae; Streptophyta; Magnoliopsida; Poales; Poaceae. The record is from RNAcentral.